GUUUUGCUCUUGGCUUCAAUCCUUUUUUUUUUGUACAGAAACACAAUAACUUCAUCAAAAACUGAUGGUACAUGGUAUAAUAGGCAUUUGAGCUUUUGGUGUAGAAAUCUGAAUCUCUGCCUUUGUGCCAGUAAGCCACAUGGACUUUUUUUCGUAGCAAGACUGAUUUUGUAGGCAAAAGAUUGUAUGCAAUCCACUUUUCUAUAUCAGUUGUGUAGGUGCUUGGCUCAUGUUCAUAUUCAAUGCAUAUGACAUGAGUAAAGUAGUAUAGGAUUCUUAUCUUUACUCUUAAAUUGCAAGUUUUUGAAUAUCCAUGAGGUCUUUCUAUGUAAAACCUGGUAGCAUCAAGUACAAGGUAUGUAGGCUUGCCGAUGUGUGGGGAAUUGGAGCAUAUUAAAUCUUUGUUACACUGAUGGAAGCAUUAUUCAUCCUUUUUUAAAAUCAUAUUUCAUACAUUAGAUUCAAGUGGGUUAUGAACUCCCAUUUUUACCCCAAAUAGAGAUUGCUGUUUGAUUUUUAUGCCUAAACACAGAACAUGGUUGGAAAUGGAAUGAGAGAAGGUCUAGUCUUUCAAAUGCAGUGAAGAGAAGUGUAUCUUCACCAGGCAGGUAUUUGAGGCCCCCCCAUGUCACAGGCAUGGAAUAAAUACCUGGUGGUUUCUAAUGGAAAAAGAUCUGAAAGGCUUUUCCAUUUGCACUGCCAGGGUAGUCAUGUGGCAAAUCCAGGCUGGCCUAGCCCCUUGGUGUUUGAGACACUGUGUUAGGCUUCUCUUCUAGGUUUCUUGUUCAGAAUGAAUUAGGGUGACUGACUAUAUUUGCAUAUCAUAUCUUUACACUAUUCAAGGAUAACUGCUCAGAGGAAUAUCGUUGGACCUUGAACACUACAUCCCCCCGGCCCCUCCAGACUCCCAGGGAAGCCAACUCAGUGUUUCUCUCUCCUUGUUCCUUCCUAUCCUAAAGGUUUCUUCUGUUUGGCUUCAGAAACAGAAACAGCUUCCUUAUUUUUUUCUUCAUACCCCCUCAUCUC
Molecule: long non-coding RNA, 1026 nt
Filed under: Marmota monax (woodchuck)
Lineage: Eukaryota; Metazoa; Chordata; Mammalia; Rodentia; Sciuridae
Source: RNAcentral